This 960-nucleotide ribosomal RNA is filed under the name Firmicutes bacterium enrichment culture clone CTBE CDB1010G12. Its description in RNAcentral is "bacterial SSU rRNA". It matches the Rfam family "Bacterial small subunit ribosomal RNA", at positions 49 to 987 of the family's 1533-position model. Lineage: Bacteria; Bacillati; Bacillota. The record is from RNAcentral.
UAAUACUGCAAGUCGAGCGGAUCUUCUUGAGUAGCUUGCUACUCAAGAAAGUUAGCGGCGGACGGGUGAGUAACACGUAAGCAACCUGCCCAUAAGACCGGGAUAACAUUCGGAAACGAAUGCUAAGACCGGAUACGCAAGAAAGCGGCAUCGCUUUCUUGGAGAAACACGGUGCAAGCUGUGGCUUAUGGAUGGGCCUGCGGCGCAUUAGCUAGUUGGUGGGGUAACGGCCUACCAAGGCGACGAUGCGUAGCCGACCUGAGAGGGUGAACGGCCACACUGGGACUGAGACACGGCCCAGACUCCUACGGGAGGCAGCAGUAGGGAAUCUUCCACAAUGGGCGCAAGCCUGAUGGAGCAACGCCGCGUGAGUGAAGAAGGCUUUCGGGUCGUAAAGCUCUGUUGCCAGGGAAGAAUAAGGGCCAGUUAACUGCUGGUCCGAUGACGGUACCUGAGAAGAAAGCCCCGGCUAACUACGUGCCAGCAGCCGCGGUAAUACGUAAGGGGCAAGCGUUGUCCGGAAUUAUUGGGCGUAAAGCGCGCGCAGGCGGUUUCUUAAGUCUGGUGUUUAAGUGCGGGGCUCAACCCCGUGACGCACUGGAAACUGGGAGACUUGAGUGCAGAAGAAGAGAGCGGAAUUCCACGUGUAGCGGUGAAAUGCGUAGAGAUGUGGAGGAACACCAGUGGCGAAAGCGGCUCUCUGGACUGUAACUGACGCUGAAGCGCGAAAGCGUGGGGAGCAAACAGGAUUAGAUACCCUGGUAGUCCACGCAGCUAACGAUGAGUGCUAAGUGUUGAGAGGGUCACCCCCCUCGUGCCGUAAGUUACACAUUANGCACUCCGCCUGGGGGAGUACAGUCGCAAGACUGAAACUCAAAAGAAUUGACGGGGGACCCGACAAGCCAUGGAAGUAGGGGGUUUAUUUCAAACCAACGCGAAAAUCCUACCAGGCNUGGACUC